AUUUGAAGAGGCGUUUUCUGUGUUUCUGAUCAGUCCAAGUCCUUUGGGAUAAGGCAUCAUGGAGGGUGAGAAUCCCGUCCGGUUGAUCAGAUUCGCUUUACGAUACGCUUUCUAAGAGUCAAGUUGUUUGGGAUUGCAGCUUAAAAUGGGAGGUAAAUUUCUCCUAAGGCUAAAUAACGGCGAGAGACCGAUAGCGAACAAGUACCGUGAGGGAAAGAUGAAAAGAACUUUGAAAAGAGAGUUAAAUAGUACGUGAAAUUGUUGAAAGGGAAACGAUUGAAGCCAGUCGUACCUAUGGGUAAUCAGCCUUUUGGGUGUGGUUUUGUGGAGCGUGAGGAGUUAAACGCCUUCAUGCCUGCAUAUUCGUGCACUUUGGGUGUACUUGCCCGUAUGGUUGGUUAACAUCAAUUUUGGUGGUCAUAAAAUGACUGGAGGAAUGUAGCUUCGAUCUCGUAUUGAAGUGUUAUAGCCUUCGGUAGAUGUGAUGAUCGAGAUUGAGGAUUGCAACGGAUACCCUUCGGGGCUACCUGUCUGAUCUCUGAUCGUUGCUCUGGUGCCGAAAGCUUGCUUACGGUUAUCAAAGUCGAUGGUCAAUAGGUUAGAACGGGUUAAAUUCGUUAAGGAUGUUGACGUAAUGGCUUUAAACGACCCGUCUUGAAACACGGACCAAGGAGUCUAACAUAUAUGUCGAGUGUU
Molecule: ribosomal RNA, 696 nt
Filed under: Rhizophagus irregularis
Lineage: Eukaryota; Fungi; Glomeromycota; Glomeromycetes; Glomerales; Glomeraceae
Description: partial large subunit ribosomal RNA
Rfam family: Eukaryotic large subunit ribosomal RNA
Source: RNAcentral